GCUGGGUCUCAAAAUGAUAUGCACAAUGAUAGAUUGAAGGAGCAGAUUCUCUUACCUUAAAGUUCAAGGCAAUAUCGUCACUUGUGGAAAGAGGAUCUGCGACUACUUUCUGCAAAGAAACAACACUCAAAGUCUUAACAAGCGCAUUGAUCAGAGCAACCGGACAUCGCAUAUUGGAUCUCAGAGGCAACGCGGCCAUGCCUGAAAUGUCAGAUGUUGCAAGCAAGUUAUUUUCAGAAUUUUAGAUUAAGCGCUGCAGAAACUACUUGAAAAUGCCAGCCCUGAUUAUAAAUGAGAGAGAGAAGGAACGCUCAAGGUUUGUCAGCAAGAAUGGCUUGGUUGAUGACCCUGUUUUAGUCGAGAAGGAGCGGGUAAUGAUAAAUCCAUGGACACAAGAAGAUAAGGAAAUAUUUAUGGAGAUGUUUGCUAAAUUUGGUAAGAAUUUCUUCAAGAUCUCCAGUUUCCUUAUGCACAAAACUACUGCCGACUGUGUUGAGUUCUACUACAAGCAUCAUAAAUCAUACAGUUUCCGAGAAGUCAAGAAAGUUUUGGACCUUCGUCAACAACAACCUGCUAGCAAUUUUCUCGGAGCAAAAUCUGGGAAGAAAUGGAAUCCCGAGGCAAAUGCUGCUUCUCUUGAUAUGCUAGGGGUAGCAUCAGUAGUAGCUACCCAUGGCCUUGAAUAUGCAAACAGAGUGGAGAAAAUCUCUGCGAAAUCCCUCAUCCGGACUGCAUAUGGGUCAAAUGUUUCUUUUGCGGCCAAAAAAUCUUCUGACAGGGAGUGCAUUGACAAUGUACCUUUGCAUGAGAGAGAAUCUGUAGCUGCUGAUGUGUU
Molecule: long non-coding RNA, 835 nt
Organism: Setaria italica (foxtail millet)
Lineage: Eukaryota; Viridiplantae; Streptophyta; Magnoliopsida; Poales; Poaceae
Exons: 3
Source: RefSeq, a predicted model, not a curated record